CCAUAGUCCCUGCCCAUCAAUGGGACUCAGGGAGCAUCGCCUGCCUGCUCACCGCCAAGACCACCACAGCCCUCUGCAGGCUUUAGGCUUCAGACCCUCCAGAUUCUGCACACAAUAAGAUAUUCCAUUUGAAUACAACCAGAUACAAGGUCAGAACUGGGACAGAUCAUUCCCUCAAAAGGGAAGGGGAUGAUCUCCAACUGCUGACACAAAGAAGAAAUACCUUCUGCAGUGAAAUAUAUCUUCCUCAGAACAAUGUGGAAUCUAAUUAUAUAAGAAAUAAAAUCAAAUCAAGAUACAGUAGAAGCUAUGUCCAGAUCAACAGAUAAAUGAAGAAAAAUUUGAUGAUGCAGAGAGAGGAAGAAAUGUAUCACAGCAUGAAGGAGGAAGAAGAGCAGUCAUCUCUGGUACCUUGGGUGAGAGCACAGGAAGAAAGCCAUGGUCUCGCCCUUUGCUUGAGAAUGUCUGAGCAAUGAUGAACUCCGUGACCUUGGGAUGUUACCUUACUCAGGUAUGUCACUCCUGUUUGCAAGCUCCUUUUGACAGAAGUGAGUCUACUGGGAACCUGUUCUUCCAGAUGCUCAGGAAGAGUCUUCUUAGUCUCUGGAAUUUAUGAAGUCAACACAAAGCAUAGCAUUUGUACUAUUUGCUGUUAAACCUGCU
Molecule: long non-coding RNA, 663 nt
Filed under: Gallus gallus (chicken)
Lineage: Eukaryota; Metazoa; Chordata; Aves; Galliformes; Phasianidae
Description: lncRNA (ENSGALG00010013826.1)
Source: RNAcentral